GAUGAACGCUGGCGGCGUGCCUAACACAUGCAAGUCGAGCGAGAAGUUAUUUGUUGAUCCCUCGGGAGAUUCAAUUAAUGGAGAGCGGCGGACGGGUGAGUAACGCGUGGGUAACCUACCUCAUACAACGGGAUAACGCAUAGAAAUGUGUGCUAAUACCGUAUAAGACUACAGGAUCGAGUGUUCCAGUAGUAAAAACUCCGGUGGUAUGAGAUGGACCCGCAUCUGAUUAGCUAGUAGGUAGUGUAAUGGACUACCUAGGCGACGAUCAGUAGCCGGCCUGAGAGGGUGAACGGCCACAUUGGAACUGGGACACGGUCCAA
This 323-nucleotide ribosomal RNA is filed under the name uncultured bacterium. RNAcentral describes it as "bacterial SSU rRNA". It matches the Rfam family "Bacterial small subunit ribosomal RNA", at positions 28 to 334 of the family's 1533-position model. The record is from RNAcentral.